This is a non-coding RNA of Cyanistes caeruleus (blue tit), 1961 nucleotides long. The record is from RefSeq and is a predicted model, not a curated record. Lineage: Eukaryota; Metazoa; Chordata; Aves; Passeriformes; Paridae.
CGCGCUGCCUCGGCUUUGCGAGAUCACCGGAACGGGCACUGCCCGGUUGGCGGUGCUCCGGUGUUGGGGGUGCUGGGGAAGCUCUGCCUUCAUCACCCUCAUUAAGCUCCCGGGGCCGGUGUGCCCUGGCGCUCCGAAGCGGCGGCGGUGGAAGUCGCUGCCCGGCAGGACAGUGAGGGGGACACAGGUGCCCUGGACGGGGCAGUGAGUGCUCCACCGGCCCAGGGGGAUCCCCUGGAGAGCACAGGACAGGGACAGGGACAUGCUGGGAUGGCCGCUCGCUCCUGACCACGCCAGGUUUUGGGCCUGUUUUCUCUGAUCCUUUCAAGUGCUGAUCACAGAACACGAAAAUGCUUUUGUUCAGUUUUUAUGUGCAGAGUGCCUCCUCAAAAAGCGUUUUAAACAUCUUCUAAACAGGUCAUUCCUCCUGGAUCAUGUCACUCAUUCCUUCAUUCUCCCGAAAUGUUCAAGGAGUGACUGGACUGGACGUGGCACUGCUCCGGUCUUGUUGACAAGGGCCACCCAGGGUCACCCACUUGGCAGCCUGAGGGACAGGUCCCGUGUGCUGGGGGUGCCACAGCCCCCCAGGAAGAGGAAUCCCAGUGCUGGGCCCAGCAGGAAGGAGUGGCUCAGGAGCACGUGUCCAGCUCUGCUGUUAAAUAACAGCAGGAGGGAGGUUUAUUCUGAGCCUGUUAAGCUGGUCCUGUGCUCUACUUAGGCUUAGUCUUUUUAUCUCUACCCAUCUUCUUCCUCCAUAAGACCUACUAAACCAGUGAAAAGAAGGGGGUUGGGGUUUUUUUUGCUUCCUUUCCAUUAAGCUUCUUGUCACAGCUCCCUGCAAACACUGCAGGUGAGUGUUGGCCUCUGAGCAGAGGAGAGAGGAAAUAGGUGUUUUCAUUUCCUAAAUAUAGUUGUUUGUAACUGCUUCCUUGACAACCUUGAAUGUCAUCCAGGUCAGAGAUUCAGUGCUGGGGAGGAAGUUAAACCCUUUCUGUGUCACCCUGACCUUUUUCUACUUGAACACAACAGCCUGGUUCAGGGAGGAACUUUCAAGUACUUAAAGAAGGGAAGCUGACAGCAGGAAUGAGAGGAUUAUUUGUUUGGGGGCUGUUCUGCUGUUUUCUGGGUGAGACUUGUGUGGUGGGGAUGUUUAACCUGCCUUGCUUUGUUACACUGGCCUGGCUUUUGCUCUUUAAUUGCAAUACUUAAGCCAAAACCAAAAAAAAAUUACAGUCAAUUGUUGAGCACCUUUAUCCUUCGAUAAAGGUUGUAAGCUCCUAAAUCCUAAAAUAAAACAAAUACCCUGGUGCUGAGGAGGAAAGAGAACAUUGUGUGAGGGCAGGGAAAUUAGGCCGCUUGGGGAAUGUGCUUUCAGGCCUAUUUCUGUCUGUCCCAGCGAGCUAAAAGGACACUGACUUUGGGGACAGAGCUCCUGACCCUCCACUCCCUGCUCUGGCACUGCUUCCUUGCUCACUCUGGAGAUGGCACCUGUGUCAGCAACCUGUGGGUGACCAAACUCACCUCAAUCCUUCAGCAGCUGUCCUGUGAGGGAAGGAACCAUCAUGCCAACCCUAAAGACAAAAAUUCCUGGGCUGUGCUACUGUGGGUGCAGCUCCCUGCUGAUUCAGCCCCUCGCAGGAUGGAGGGAUGGGAAUCUAUUUUUAAUAGAUGAAAUAAUUUAUGGCUGGUACAGGGUAAACCCUGAGUGACCUGUCAGGUGCCAACAUCGCAGAGGCCAAGAGAGUAAUCAUUUAGAAGUACUUUGAUUAGAAAAAACCUUUACUUUAGGCUUGGCUCGUGUUUUAAUUAAUGUCAUCUAUUAACAUUUUGAAGAGAAAUGGGUUUGGCAAACCAAGCAGCCAUUUGGGAAGACAGUGAGGAGUACAGCUGCUGUACUGCAGCAGGAAUCUCCCUAGCUCUGUACAGACUCAGCAUUACUAAAUAAAGCUACUUUCAAGCCA